Molecule: ribosomal RNA, 243 nt
Filed under: uncultured bacterium
Lineage: Bacteria
Description: partial 16S ribosomal RNA
Rfam family: Bacterial small subunit ribosomal RNA
Source: RNAcentral
CCGACCGGCGCACGGUGAGUAACGCGUAUGCAACUUACCUAUCAGAGGGGGAUAACCCGGCGAAAGUCGGACUAAUACCGCAUGAAGCAGGGGCCCCGCAUGGGGAUAUUUGCUAAAGAUUCAUCGCUGAUAGAUAGGCAUGCGUUCCAUUAGGCAGUUGGCGGGGUAACGGCCCACCAAACCGACGAUGGAUAGGGGUUCUGAGAGGAAGGUCCCCCACAUUGGUACUGAGACACGGACCAA